RNAcentral lists this ribosomal RNA (492 nucleotides) under uncultured bacterium. RNAcentral's name for it is "partial 16S ribosomal RNA". It matches the Rfam family "Bacterial small subunit ribosomal RNA", at positions 29 to 507 of the family's 1533-position model. The record is from RNAcentral.
AGUGAACGCUGGCGGUAGGCCUAACACAUGCAAGUCGAACGGCAGCACAGUAAGAGCUUGCUCUUACGGGUGGCGAGUGGUGGACGGGUGAGGAAUACAUCGGAAUCUACUUUUUCGUGGGGGAUAACGUAGGGAAACUUACGCUAAUACCGCAUACGACCUACGGGUGAAAGCAGGGGAUCUUCGGACCUUGCGCGAUUGAAUGAGCCGAUGUCGGAUUAGCUAGUUGGCGGGGUAAAGGCCCACCAAGGCGAUGAUCCGUAGCUGGUCUGAGAGGAUGAUCAGCCACACUGGAACUGAGACACGGUCCAGACUCCUACGGGAGGCAGCAGUGGGGAAUAUUGGACAAUGGGCGCAAGCCUGAUCCAGCCAUACCGCGUGGGUGAAGAAGGCCUUCGGGUUGUAAAGCCCUUUUGUUGGGAAAGAAAAGCAGCAGGUUAAUACCCCGCUGUUCUGACGGUACCCAAAGAAUAAGCACCGGCUAACUUCGUG